CUAAGAAUAUUCCGCAAUGGACGGAAGUCUGACGGAGCGACGCCGCGUGGAUGAAGAAGGCCGAAAGGUUGUAAAGUUCUUUUGCUAGGGGAGAAUAAGUGAGGGAGGGAAUGCCCUCAUGAUGACAAGGACUAGCGAAUAAGCCCCGGCCAACUACGUGCCAGCAGCCGCGGUAACACGUAGGGGGCGAGCGUUGUUCGGAAUUACUGGGCGUAAAGGGCAUGUAGGCGGCUUGGUAAGCCUGGCGUGAAAGACUGCAGCUUAACUGGAGGGAUGCGUUGGGAACUGCUUAGCUUGAGUUACGGAGAGGGAGCUGGAAUUCCUGGUGUAGGGGUGAAAUCUGUAGAUAUCAGGAAGAACACCGAUGGCGAAGGCAAGCUUCUGGUCGAUAACUGACGCUAAGAUACGAAAGCGUGGGGAGCAAACA
Molecule: ribosomal RNA, 427 nt
Filed under: uncultured prokaryote
Description: bacterial SSU rRNA
Rfam family: Bacterial small subunit ribosomal RNA
Source: RNAcentral